Molecule: long non-coding RNA, 524 nt
Organism: Myotis brandtii (Brandt's bat)
Lineage: Eukaryota; Metazoa; Chordata; Mammalia; Chiroptera; Vespertilionidae
Exons: 3
Source: RefSeq, a predicted model, not a curated record
UGCCCACCUCCGGCGGGCGGGCCGAGGCCACUGGCGAUUAGUUCUUUCUCGUUUAGGAUGGGUUUUCCAAAGUGAGAGUUUUCCGUGCCUGCUUUUCUCCUGAAAAGUUUUCGUCUAACGAAGGAGGCAUCUCAAGCUUUAGAUGUCCAAAACAGAACACCUUCCCAACAAAUCAGCAUCUUGUCUUCCUCUGCACGAUGAAACCUCCAUCCACCCAUGUGUUCCUGGCAAAAAUCAUGGAGUCCUUGAUACCACUCCAUACAUCCAAUCAAUCAGUUCCCACCUCCAAAAGAUAACCCUCUGAUAAACCACUGAAGGAUUAAGAAACGGAUUUUCAUGUAUCCAGACCACACAGCAUCCAGUAUCCAAACCACUGGUCAUCUAGAGCAUUACCGUCUUGGACUAAUCCAGAGGCUAAGAACACAGGACCGAUUCUUCUCAAGAAUGUACCUUUUACUAUAAGACACUUAGCUUUUCAUUUUUCUUCUGUUUUGGAAGACUGGCUGUUUCCUAGUAGUGUUUCC